Molecule: ribosomal RNA, 497 nt
Filed under: uncultured bacterium
Lineage: Bacteria
Description: partial 16S ribosomal RNA
Rfam family: Bacterial small subunit ribosomal RNA
Source: RNAcentral
GAUGAACGCUGGCGGCGUGCCUAAUACAUGCAAGUCGAGCGAACAGACGAGGAGCUUGCUCCUCUGACGUUAGCGGCGGACGGGUGAGUAACACGUGGAUAACCUACCUAUAAGACUGGGAUAACUUCGGGAAACCGGAGCUAAUACCGGAUAAUAUAUUGAACCGCAUGGUUCAAUAGUGAAAGACGGUUUUGCUGUCACUUAUAGAUGGAUCCGCGCCGCAUUAGCUAGUUGGUAAGGUAACGGCUUACCAAGGCAACGAUGCGUAGCCGACCUGAGAGGGUGAUCGGCCACCCUGGAACUGGGACGCGGUCCAGACUCCUACGGGAGGCAGCAGUAGGGAAUCUUCCGCAAUGGGCGAAAGCCUGACGGAGCAACGCCGCGUGAGUGAUGAAGGUCUUCGGAUCGUAAAACUCUGUUAUUAGGGAAGAACAAAUGUGUAAGUAACUAUGCACGUCUUGACGGUACCUAAUCAGAAAGCCACGGCUAACUACGUG